This 301-nucleotide ribosomal RNA is filed under the name uncultured bacterium. RNAcentral's name for it is "partial 16S ribosomal RNA". It matches the Rfam family "Bacterial small subunit ribosomal RNA", at positions 509 to 807 of the family's 1533-position model. The record is from RNAcentral.
CAGUCGCCGCGGGAAUACAGAGGGUGCAAGCGUUAAUCGGAAUUACUGGGCGUAAAGCGCGCGUAGGUGGUUUGUUAAGUUGAAUGUGAAAUCCCCGGGCUCAACCUGGGAACUGCAUCCAAAACUGGCAAGCUAGAGUAGGGCAGAGGGUGGUGGAAUUUCCUGUGUAGCGGUGAAAUGCGUAGAUAUAGGAAGGAACACCAGUGGCGAAGGCGACCACCUGGGCUCAUACUGACACUGAGGUGCGAAAGCGUGGGGAGCAAACAGGAUUAGAUACCCGUGUAGUCCCUGUCUCUUAUAC